UCAGACGAUGCGUCAUGCAUAUCAAUAAGCGGAGGAAAAGAAACUAACAAGGAUUCCCUUAGUAACGGCGAGUGAAGCGGGAAGAGCUCAAAUUUGAAAUCUUCAAGGUUUUACCUUGACGAAUUGUAGUUUAAAGAAGUGUUUUCUGCUGAAGUUUUGGUAAAAGUUCUUUGGAAUAGGACAUCAUAGAGGGUGAGAAUCCCGUAUUUGACCAUUAUUUUCAGCUUUGUGAUACACUUCCAAAGAGUCGGAUUGUUUGGGAAUGCAGUCCAAAAUGGGUGGUAAAUUUCAUCUAAAGCUAAAUAUUGGCGAGAGACCGAUAGCGAACAAAUACCGUGAGGGAAAGAUGAAAAGAACUUUGAAAAGAGAGUUAAACAGUACGUGAAAUUGUCAAAAGGGAAGCGUUUGACACCAGUGUUGUUUUCUCGAAAAUCAAUUAAAAAUGGCUCGAUUUUGUAUUGCUUGAGACCUUAAAAGCUCACUGUACAUUUUUCGUGUCUUUUUUAAUGCACUUUUCGUUUAACAAGUCAACAGUCAGUUUCUUUUGUUGUAAAAGGGUCAUUGGAAGGUGGCUUUCUUUUCGGAGAAAGUGUUUAUAGCCUUUGGCCUCUGCAAUCGGAGAGACUGAGGUCUGCAGCGUAGACUCUUCGGGGUUAGAUACAUUUGUGCUAAGUUAUAGCUUUUUAUAGACAACUUGUUGACUAUAAUUAGUCUUGUAGCUUACUCGCUUAUGCUAUUUUACCUACGCUUAGGAUGUUGACGAUCAGCUGAGCGCG
RNAcentral lists this ribosomal RNA (776 nucleotides) under uncultured Neocallimastigales. RNAcentral's name for it is "partial large subunit ribosomal RNA". It matches the Rfam family "Eukaryotic large subunit ribosomal RNA", at positions 18 to 605 of the family's 3401-position model. Lineage: Eukaryota; Fungi; Neocallimastigomycota; Neocallimastigomycetes; Neocallimastigales. The record is from RNAcentral.